AGCAGCCGCGGUAAUACGGAGGGUCCAAGCGUUAUCCGGAAUUACUGGGCGUAAAGCGUGCGUAGGUGGUUUUUUAAGUCUUGUGUUUAAUCCCGGGGCUCAACCUCGGUUCGCAUGGGAAACUGGGAAACUGGAGUGCAGGAGAGGAAAGUGGAAUUCCACGUGUAGCGGUGAAAUGCGUAGAUAUGUGGAGGAACACCAGUGGCGAAGGCGACUUUCUGGCCUGUAACUGACGCUGAGGCGCGAAAGCGUGGGGAGCAAA
This 262-nucleotide ribosomal RNA is filed under the name uncultured bacterium. Its description in RNAcentral is "partial 16S ribosomal RNA". It matches the Rfam family "Bacterial small subunit ribosomal RNA", at positions 510 to 772 of the family's 1533-position model. The record is from RNAcentral.